AUGGGAACGCGAAGAACCUUACCUAGACUUGACAUCUUCUGCAUUAAUCGUAAUAGAGGAAGCCCUUCGGGGCAGGAAGACAGGUGGUGCAUGGUUGUCGUCAGCUCGUGUCGUGAGAUGUUGGGUUAAGUCCCGCAACGAGCGCAACCCUUAUUGUUAGUUGCUACCAUUAAGUUGAGCACUCUAGCGAGACUGCCCGGGUUAACCGGGAGGAAGGUGGGGAUGACGUCAAAUCAUCAUGCCCCUUAUGUCUAGGGCUACACACGUGCUACAAUGGUGGGAACAAAGAGAUGCAAUACCGCAAGGUGGAGCUAAACUCAAAACCCCAUCCCAGUUCGGAUUGUAGGCUGAAACUCGCCUACAUGAAGCUGGAGUUGCUAGUAAUCGCGAAUCAGAAUGUCGCGGUGAAUACGUUCCCGGGUCUUGUACACACCG
RNAcentral lists this ribosomal RNA (435 nucleotides) under uncultured bacterium. RNAcentral describes it as "bacterial SSU rRNA". It matches the Rfam family "Bacterial small subunit ribosomal RNA", at positions 954 to 1392 of the family's 1533-position model. The record is from RNAcentral.